Long non-coding RNA from Triticum aestivum (bread wheat), 1228 nucleotides. RefSeq lists it as uncharacterized. Lineage: Eukaryota; Viridiplantae; Streptophyta; Magnoliopsida; Poales; Poaceae. The transcript is spliced from 5 exons. The record is from RefSeq and is a predicted model, not a curated record.
UGAACGGCGACGGUGGAGGAAGGGGUGGAGUUGAGGCUACCAUUGCCGACCGUGAGGAUGGAGGAAGUAGUGGAAUUGGGGCUGACAAAAUCUCGAUAAUGCGCUACUUGCCUGAGAGUACAAUCCGCAAAAUCGAGAAUGAUCAGACGUGUCUUUACUGGCGAUUGUGUGGUGCUCAAAGACAUUUUGCAUACCGGAAACUUCUUUUGAAGCUUGACUUUAUUCAGCCAGAUAGUGAUCGUGAAGAUGUCCUAGAAAAGCUUAAAUCUUUGACCAGAUGGCCAGGGCUGAAAGAUUAUUGCGAGCUUACAAGUUGUUUAAAGAGCCAUAUGCAUUUUUUACAGAAACAUGAGCAGAGUAAAAUGAACACAGCUUCCGGUACAUCUGAGGAAAAAAAUCGGCAAUAUUCAUCAAAUGUUGUAAAACACUUACAACUGUGGAUGCAGUUUUAAAUCAGAAAUAAAAGCAGUUCAAGUUUCUUACAGUGACAUGACGUGGCAUGUGCAUGCUUCACAGUUAACAUCAUUGCACUUUUCACUUGGGCAGUAUGAAAAUGCAGCUUUGGAGAAGAUCAACUCAGAGCUGAGCACAACACUGCAGAAGCAUCUAGAUCGAUAUGACUGGAUGCUGAUGGAGCAGUACUAUGACCGUGUGAAACUAAGGAGGCUUUCAAGAGAAUGUGCCACUCAAGCACAGACAAUUGGGGUUAUUCUUGUUGGUGAGGCAAGUUUUCUUUUCUUUUCAGUUGUGCGUUUUGCAAUCAAGGAAAUAUAUAUGAGUAAAAAAAUGUGUUGUAGAGUACAAAUUCAUCGGUGACUAUUCUUGUUUACCAUGGCUAUUGCUCAAGGUUGACUUCAAGUUAUUUACCGCAAAUGGCUAUUGUUCCUUAUUUUCGUUACUGCAGGCUCUACCUAUAAAUCCAGAAGAUAGUGCACUUCCUUUGAUUAAACGAAUACAAGGAAAAUUCAGGAGUGGUGCUGCUGCUGGUAGGCCGUUGCGGUUGCUCGCUCUCGGUGUGUUCGCGGUGGUUGCAGCAGCAGGAAGCUUGUCAUCAAGUGUGUCUAUUGGGUGAAUUUUUGUUUGACUGAUUGGAUACCGAGAUACAUGAUUUAUCACAUAUUCACAUGUCACAAGGACUUCAGAAGGCUACAUUGUAACAAAAAAUAGAUUCCAACACAACAACAUUGGUUUGUAUAUAUAUAGCAUCAGAGGAAAAUUUUGUCGCCGA